Molecule: ribosomal RNA, 497 nt
Filed under: uncultured bacterium
Lineage: Bacteria
Description: partial 16S ribosomal RNA
Rfam family: Bacterial small subunit ribosomal RNA
Source: RNAcentral
GAUGAACGCUGGCGGCGUGCCUAAUACAUGCAAGUCGAGCGAACAGACGAGGAGCUUGCUCCUCUGACGUUAGCGGCGGACGGGUGAGUAACACGUGGAUAACCUACCUAUAAGACUGGGAUAACUUCGGGAAACCGGAGCUAAUACCGGAUAAUAUAUUGAACCGCAUGGUUCAAUAGUGAAAGACGGUUUUGCUGUCACUUAUAGAUGGAUCCGCGCCGCAUUAGCUAGUUGGUAAGGUAACGGCUUACCAAGGCAACGAUGCGUAGCCGACCUGAGAGGGGGAUCGGCCACCCUGGAACGGAGCCGCGGUCCAGACUCCUACGGGAGGCAGCAGUAGGGAAUCUUCCGCAAUAGGCGAAAGCUUGGCGGAGCAACGCCGCGUGAGUGAUGAAGGUCUUCGGAUCGUAAAACUCUGUUAUUAGGGAAGAACAAAUGUGUAAGUAACUAUGCACGUCUUGACGGUAACUAAUCAGAAAGCCACGGCUAACUACGUG